CGGAGCAACGCCGCGUGAGUGAAGAAGGUUUUCGGAUUGUAAAACUCUGUCCAUAGGGAAGAAACAAAUGACGGUACCUGUGGAGAAAGCCCCGGCUAACUACGUGCCAGCAGCCGCGGUAAAACGUAGGGGGCAAGCGUUGUCCGGAAUAACUGGGCGUAAAGGGCGUGUAGGCGGCCUUGAAAGUCAGUCGUGAAAUCCAUCGGCUUAACCGAUGGCUGGCGAUUGAAACUACAGAGCUUGAGUGCAGUAGAGGGGAGUGGAAUUCCCAGUGUAGCGGUGAAAUGCGUAGAUAUUGGGAGGAACACCAGUGGCGAAAGCGGCUCCCUGGCCUGUAACUGACGCUGAGGCGCGAAAGGUGGGUAGCAAACAGGAUUAGAUACCCUGGUAGUCCACGCCGUAAACGAUGGGUGCUAGGUGUUGGGGGUAUCGACCCCUCCAGUGCCGCAGUUAACGCAAUAAGCACCCCGCCUGGGGAGUACGGCCGCAAGGUGAAACUCAAAGGAAUU
RNAcentral lists this ribosomal RNA (509 nucleotides) under uncultured delta proteobacterium. RNAcentral's name for it is "bacterial SSU rRNA". It matches the Rfam family "Bacterial small subunit ribosomal RNA", at positions 387 to 911 of the family's 1533-position model. Lineage: Bacteria; Deltaproteobacteria. The record is from RNAcentral.